GGGGCCCGGCCCGUAAAUGGCGGCGGCUCCGCGCCCGCCCCGCGUUCCGCAGGGGACACUCGGCCCGGGCUGCGGCGGGACCGGCGCUCGGAGCGCCGUGCGGAGAUCGGAUCGGGGGCUGCUCCCGGCGCUGCGCGGCGUCCGAGGCGCUCAGGGGCUACUCCCAACAGGCACGCAGGGAUGUUUCAGCCCGGACAGACGCCACCGACAGCCCAGAAGGACCCCAAGGAAUGGCUGGCAUUACCUGGGAAUGGAGGCAUGGGCUGUUUGUAGAGGGGCUGUGACAGCAAUUCCUGUUUCUGACCUCCCCGAGCUCCCACACAGCUGCCAGUGGGAAGAACGUGAGCUCACAGCCACCGAGGCCUGGCAGGUUCCUGCACUGAGAGCUCAGCGUGUGUCCACAGAGGUGAAACACAAGCAGUGGGCAGAGGUCGUGCCAUUGAUGCGGACGUGCGUGAUGCUUGCUGGGGCAGAAAAAAGAGGGGAGACAUGGGAAUCGGAAAACCAGAAACUCCCACAGACACUGAAAGAUUUGAUCUGCAGCCUCGGGAGAAGCUGGGAUUGAUUUACAAAUACAAGACACGGACAUUAAGCAGGAAAAGAAUAAAAUAACUUCUGUUUCUGUUGCUGUAAGUAAGAGCAUGCCCCGAGUGAGAGAGAGAGAAACUGUGUGGGCACGAUGGGGAAGGGUUUGCAGGGCAGGGCUGGGGCUGUGUGGAGUAAACUGAGAGUUUACAAGUUAUAACAGAAGCCAUUGAACAAAAGUACCCUCAGUGCAGCAGAACUGAGUAAAGGUGAUGGGUUAGAAAAGCAAAAUGAACCCUGAGGCAGCUGGCCCUGGGGUUAGAAAGUUCUGUCCUGCCUUGGAACAAAGAACUUGUGACUGCUCCUGAGCUACAGCCAGCUGCUUGCUCUUUAAACCCUCACAGCCUCGAGGCUGGUGUUUAUCUGAGUAGUGCUGAUCCCAGCCCAAGAGCAGUCCCAUCCCUUCGUUGCUAACAGCACAGUGA
Non-coding RNA from Taeniopygia guttata (zebra finch), 1010 nucleotides. The record is from RefSeq and is a predicted model, not a curated record. NCBI's taxonomy places the organism in Eukaryota, Metazoa, Chordata, Aves, Passeriformes, Estrildidae.